Long non-coding RNA from Brienomyrus brachyistius, 2559 nucleotides. RefSeq lists it as uncharacterized. The transcript is spliced from 3 exons. The record is from RefSeq and is a predicted model, not a curated record. Lineage: Eukaryota; Metazoa; Chordata; Actinopteri; Osteoglossiformes; Mormyridae.
CACAGCGCCAGGGGCAUGGUCCAAAAAAUUGUACUUAAUCUUGUAAUUACUGAUGCGUGUGUCAGAAUGUCAUUUCCCAUUCCCUUCAAAAGUCGGGUGCACUGGCAACUUGGUGGAUAACUAUUAUAACGGCAGUUUUUCCAAGUAAAAAAAACGGAGGAAACGGAUCUGGUGGAAAACACUUGUGAAUGGGAGAAUGGCUCCACACUCCUCACAUUCUUCAUGCUGCCAGAGCUGCAGAUUACUGCAGAGGAACAUUCUACUCUGGACCAGGAUGCAGGUAACACUUCCGAGAGAGAUCUACACACAUGUGGAUACUCAGCCGGCAAAGCCAAACCAAGCCUGGAGGGCUGAACAACAACUGGAGCAGACGGCGAAUGUUCAGAAACCCUGCAGAGCUGACUGUAACCCACAAUACCAGGUGGUUCCUUCUAUAUGCCCCAACGUCUACAUUUCAGCUCCGAAUUCUAUUUGAAAUAAAAAUGACCUUAAAAAGGGAUGAAAAAGCAGGAGCUGAGAACAACAACGGGAAAAAAAGAAGAUGAUGGUGAAACGAUGAUGGAGGAGGGAAUGAUGGGGCCACGAGGCAGCAAAUCGAUGAGGAACAGAUACAGAUAUAACAAUCGAAUUUGGAAAAUGUGGCUGCGGAGGAGAAACAACAGGAAGCGGGGGCCUGAAGAUCAUGGAAACAUAUCAGUCAUUUAAAUGAAUGAUCCUUCUUGCGGUGCUCAAAGCACCGAGGCCGCAGCAGGAAAGUCACUGCAGCUGAUUGAAAAUGAACAGAACAGGAAGCCUGCGACAGCACAGAAUCAUAAUAAAAUUAGGACCCAGAGAUUGCUACAUUACUCUUCCCAGCAUCAUGAAAUACAAGAGAUGAGAUUUCGCCCCCUUUCCUUCUUUUUUAUUUUACCAUUUGCCUGCUGCUCUACACCACUGUGAAACAAAGCCCCUGUAUUUCCAUCUCUAUGAGAAAGAUGCCUCGAUUCCACGUAAAUAUGGUUUUAAGCAUCCAAAACAGCUAUGUAUCUUAAAUUGGUAAAAUAUUUACCAGCUCACGGAAACUGAUAAAAGGAAACAUUGACAAAAAUCUCUGCCACUACUACAGAAGAGCCUUUUAAAAGUUUUAACAUCUUUCCCCUUUAAGUGCUGCACAACAAUUCUUUUGUGUGUUUAUGCAUUUCUUUGGAGUUUGUGUCUGUUAAUGAGAACAAACAUACUUCCAUGACAUGCCAAAGUGCCUGUUGAAGCCGCCUGAGAUGAACCGACCCAAGUCGAUUCCCUCAGACAUGAUAAGAAAGAUAGACAAUAUGAUAAUCAUUAUUGAACCUGCUGGCACAAGCAAUAAAACCCUUUCUGUCAUUCUCUUUCUUUCAUUUUCCCUCCACUCCAAAGAUUUCAGGGUUUAUCGGUCCAGCAGUUUCGGCUAUGAAGCAAAGUGUGUAGUUCUUAUUAACUUUGCUGCAACACUGUGUUAUCAUAAGGAUUAUUGUUGCAAUUGAACACCAUACAUCAAUUUUUAUGAAAAAAACUUUUUUUCUCAGUUGGGUGCAUCUGGAUACUCCUGAAAUUUUGACAAAACAGUUGAAACUGAAGAUUUUAAAAGUGGCUGUUAUUCUGGGUCCAUCAGAAUUAUUGUUGAUUGACAGUUAUGACUGACAGGUUCCCUGCCUUAUAUAACAGUAUAAUGCCUUUUAGUGUACCCUGUGUAUGCUUAUAUGUGUGGGUGUGUGAACUUGGAUGUUGGCGCAUGUAUGAGUAAGUGCAAGUGACCAAAGUGUAAGUUAAAUGUUCCUGGAAUAACAUACAGGAUAGUUCAGUGGGUAGAACCAUUGGCUCAAAUAUCUGGAGUUCAUCCCACCUCUGCUUUGUUUGUCUGGUUAGCUGGCUCAUGGGAGACUUACUUACACAAAAAAACGUUCUGAGGGCAGAAUGAGAGAUGAUUGCUUCAGAGAGAUAAACAAGAUAAACAAUCAGACAUCUGAUUGGUUGGUCAUGCUUCCUCUAUUUGUUUGAAUCCAACUCCUCUACAAUCUGGUUAUCUCUCUGAACCAAUCAUUGUUUUUAUUCUGCCCUCAGAACAGUUUUGUGUAGGUAAAACUUCCACAAGCUGGAAGCUUCCUUACAUGUCUGUGUCAUGCAGGUUUCUGCUGAGCACUCCAGUUACCUCCCACAAUACAAAGACGUCUAGGUUAGGUUAAUACGUGCAUGAUCUUUAAAUUUCCCAUACGGUGUGCCUUUGCAAUGGACUGGCAUCUCAUCUAGGGUGCACCCCUGGCAAGUGACCUGGAUAGACUUCACUCCCCCCACACCAAUGAACAGGAAGAUAGAUAAAAGUACAUAUGAUUGUCAAUGGGCUCAUCUUAGUAGAAAAUAUGCAGGCAUAAUUUUGGGGAAUUGGGGAAGAAAACUGAAAAGAGUCUACUUUCUGUGGCUCAACAGUCUGAUACCACAGUUUCAAAAACACUCAUAAAAAACAAACAAUAUGUAUGACCUUUCUUGGAAGAAGAAUCCUUGCUAAGCAAUUCAUGAACAUUGCAUAUCAAUAAAUGGAUGAAGGAA